Molecule: long non-coding RNA, 2612 nt
Organism: Mus musculus (house mouse)
Lineage: Eukaryota; Metazoa; Chordata; Mammalia; Rodentia; Muridae
Product: predicted gene, 29943
Exons: 4
Source: RefSeq, a predicted model, not a curated record
UUAUUUGGGGUGAGACAAGGGUUAUAUAGUUUUGGGAAAGGGGGUGAGGGUGUGGUCAAAGGUCAUUGAGUGAAGACUAAGGCACUGAGUUGCCUCAUUAGCAUGGGGAGGCAUUUCAGGAAUCCCAGGUGGAGGACUGCACCACAUUCCUCAGGUGGUGUCCCGGAUCCUCCAGAGAAGUGGAAGCCCGGAGGACAAAGGGAGUCCGAGCUCAGGGCUGUCCGUAAUGUCAAACUUCCACCUUGGCAGCAGGGUUUCCCUACACUGGUCCACCACUAAAGCUACAUUCCCAGCUCUUAAAAAAAACAAACGGAGGAGCUGGGCGUACGAAGCUCAGUUGUAGAGUGCUUGUACAUCCAUGAAGCCCUGGCUUAAUGCCCAGCAGUACAGAAAACCAAGUGUAGUGGUGCAAGCCUCCAUGAGUUUGAGGCCAGCCUGGGCUACAGAAGACCAUGUCUCAAAAGAAAUAUUUUUUUAUUUUUUAAAUUUGAGACUGGGUGUAGCUCAGGCUAGUCCUGAACUUUUCCACUGGGAUUACAGGUGUGCACCAGGCCUAAAUUGGUCUCCCCCCUUGCCUCCCUUCCUCCCUCCCUUCUUUUGUUUUCUCCCUGCCCCCUUCCUUCUCUUUCCUUCCUCCCCCCCACCCCCCUGACCCUUUUCCUUUUUUGUUGAGAAGGAGCCCUGCUAUGUGGUCUAAGUUGGUUUUAAACUCCUGAAAUCAAGUGAUCUUAAGAACUCCUUACUACAGGUGUACACCAUCAUAUGAACUAAUAAAAUCAGGCUUUAAAAAAUUAGUAAAGAGGGCCAACGGGAGCAAGUGGGGUUGACAGGAGUGGGCAGGACUGACCGGAUUGAGCAACCUUCAUUCCCAGCAACUACACGAUGGCUUACAACUAUCAGUACAGCUACAGUGUACCCAUAUACAUUUAACAAACAAACAGGCUAAGGGUUGUGGCUCGGUUGGAAGAGUGCCUGCCUAGCAUGCAUUAAACCCUAGGUUUGAUUCUGGGCACUGCGUAAACUGCGUGGUGGAUCAUGUCUUUAAUCUCACUUCUUAGGAGGUAGAGGCAGGAGGAUCAGAAACUGGGCGUCAUCCUUGAUUACACAGAUAGUUUGAGACCAGCCUAGCAUACAUGAAGCCCUGACUCGAGGAACAUAUAGAGCUACAUUUUAGAGUAGUGCUAGGGUCUUAGCAAACACAGCCUCCUCCACUCAGACUUUCUCCCUCCAGUGGUCCUUGUCAUACCGGAGCCAACAUCUACUCACUGUGACCUUGUUAGCAACUAAGUUGGGGAGGGUGGUACUUAGGGACAGGACACGGAAUUGUAUAUAUUCAGCCGCCCACCUCACCUACUGGUGACAUCCAUCUGGAUCCUAACAUCACCAAGGGACCUUUGACCCCUUCUCCUGUGGUCAUGUUUGGAUUGGGUGUUGGAGAGCAUCAUCGUGGUACCCUUUGUCCUCACCAGCUUUGCUGGAAUGGUUGCCAUGGUGACAGUGAUGCUAACAACUGCCUUGGUCCAGCUUUGCUGAAGGCCAAGUGAUAUCCCCCAUAAACCUUUUCUGAUUUACAGGUGGGAAAACUGAGGCCAGUGAAGUGCCUUCCCCAAGGACCCUCCCUUAUGUGAGGGGGCCCUGGAAUGAAUGGUGGGAGCAUCGUGAAGGUAUACCCACAGCUCACAAGCCGCAAGGCGGGGUCAGGCCUAGGACUCUAGUUCUAUUCUUAUUGCUCACUGAGUCCUUUUGUCAAACUUGCUUCACUCUCCCUGGCUCCCAGUCUGCCUGGAGCUGCUGGUCUGGAGCCCACCAGAGGCUGUGGAGGUGGAGCAGAUGGUGGGGCAGUCCUGUAGCCUCUGAGUGGAUGAGGUUUGUUUCAGAGCCUCGGAGCUGUUUGUGUGUCAAAUUGACAUAAGACCAGCCAGCGUGACUUGCUCAGUUGUUAGCAUGAACUCCUCCUGUGCCUAUACGAAGCACCAACCCUCUCUGAGCACUCAGUUCUGAGCUCCAGCAUGGAAGGCCUGCCUCUCUCACAGCUGUACCACAUGUCCAGAACGUGACUGGUACCCAAGACAUGGGGAAGUCCUUGGCCCUGGCACCCAAGAAUAUGACCUUAUUUGGAAACAGGGUCUCUGCAGAUGGAAUUGAGGAAAGAUGAAGUCAUUGUGGAGCCUAAUCAAAUAUUCCUGCCGCAUCGAACCAGGACCAUUCCCCGUCUGCCAUGACCUUGUCUUUCCUUACUGUGUCUGCAAUGACCCUGUUUUCAGAGGUCAUACGGAGGUCCUAGGGAUUUGGAUUCCAACAUGUUUUCCCUUGGGAGAGCACUGUUCCCUUGGGAGAGCACUGUUCCCUUGGGAGAGCACUGUUCCCUUGGGAGAGCACUGUUCCCCAGCUGGGGGCGCUGCUUAAGAAGAAUGUGGAGCUUUUAAAAGUAGAACUUUGAAGGCUAAACUCAUCUCAGGGUUUGGCCUAGCCAGGUUCUCUGAUUCUUGUAAGGAACCUGUCACACACUUCUGCCACCAUGAAUUUAGCUAUGCCUUCAUUACUAUGAGAACUAAAUAAAACCCAGAGAAAUUACAAAUAAUAAUAAUUAAAAAAAACUCUUUCCUUUCUUA